CCUACGGGUGGCAGCAGUGGGGAAUAUUGGACAAUGGGCGAAAGCCUGAUCCAGCCAUGCCGCGCGUGUGAAGAAGGCCUUCGGGUUGUAAAGCACUUUCAGUGGGGAAGAAAGCCUUGGGGCUAAUACCCUCGAGGAAGGACAUCACCCACAGAAGAAGCACCGGCUAACUCCGUGCCAGCAGCCGCGGUAAUACGGAGGGUGCGAGCGUUAAUCGGAAUUACUGGGCGUAAAGCGCGCGUAGGCGGUCUGAUAAGCCGGUUGUGAAAGCCCCGGGCGCAACCUGGGAACGGCAUCCGGAACUGUCAGGCUAGAGUGCAGGAGAGGAAGGUAGAAUUCCCGGUGUAGCGGUGAAAUGCGUAGAGAUCGGGAGGAAUACCAGUGGCGAAGGCGGCCUUCUGGACUGACACUGACGCUGAGGUGCGAAAGCGUGGGUAGCAAACAGGAUUAGAUACCCCGGUAGUC
Molecule: ribosomal RNA, 465 nt
Filed under: Vreelandella stevensii
Lineage: Bacteria; Pseudomonadati; Pseudomonadota; Gammaproteobacteria; Oceanospirillales; Halomonadaceae
Description: partial 16S ribosomal RNA
Rfam family: Bacterial small subunit ribosomal RNA
Source: RNAcentral